GGACCGGACUCCCCAACUCCCCACCACCCCACUCCCCACCCACCAGGAGAGACCCUGCUCUCCCUUCUCCCAGCCCACACCCUCCUGCAGGCCCUUUCUGCGCUCCGGCCCCACCUUGCCUCCAGCUCCUGUUCCUUCACAGUUCUCCCUUGUACGCCUGACUUCUCAUCUCCUUCCAUCUGACUCCACCCUGUCCUUCCUAAAUCAUUCUCCAGACUCCAUGUCUUUCGGCAGCCAAAGGCCGGAGGAGCCCCUCAGAGCAGGGAGAUGGGAGCAGCCACAGAUGAAGUGCAGGCGUUCUUUAAGAGGCAAAGAGAGAUCCAGAGUCACCCCUUUUCUUCCCUGCAAGGACCCCACGCAGCCCUGGGCUAUGAUCCAUUUAUCAAGAGCUGCUGUGAGUGUGGGCAGAGACGCAGAACUGGUGCCAGGGCCUCAGAAACACUCGGGCAGCAUGAGAAGCCUCAGGAUGAGAGCAAGAGGAAGCUGCUCCAUCACUCGGUCUUCCAGGUACCUGCUCCCUGCCAUAGCCGCAUCUCAGCGCUCUUGUGGGUUCUGUGGAAAUGAGGCCAGGCUCCCUGAAUCCCUGAGACAUCCAGGUUCGUUGAUUCCCUCUCUAAUCAGACUGUAGAUAUUUAGAACAGGGACCAAAGUAUAAGCUUCUCCCAUCACACCCCAAGCCCAGGCACACAGGAGAUAUGUGUGGCUUGAUUGACAAUGAAGAGGAGGACAGAUAAAAGUAAGGCAGGGAGGUCCCCUUUCAGAUGCAGAAGAGAGUCCUGCCUGCAUCUGAGAAACCUCCUGCCCAACUGUUAUUCAUUUGCCUUCUCUCUGCCAGUCCUCCCUGGAAGCCUACCUUUGGCCUCCAGGUAUCUGCUAAUAAUUCUCUUCCCUUCACCACCUGAGUGUGGUCAAAAUGCCUCUUUGUAAUUGCUCUCUGCAGCCAGUUAGAUAUGCACUCAAACAUAUCCAUUUUGGGAGGUGUAGGGGUGUGAAAGGCAUUCUUGGCAGUGGUCAUAGCCAAAUAGGGACGGGGAAGCCACAGGAAGGAAAGGUCCACUAUUCAAUAACAUUCAACAAAUGGGACUGACAUGACCAGGUUUGUUUUUAAGGAAUAUCAUUCAGAGACUUAUAAAGAAUGACAAUACAAAUGGAAUAGAAAGGAAGUUAAAGAGGUGAUAGCUUCCCCAAUCUCUACUGAUCUUAUGAAUAAUUAUAGCACUAUUGAUUAAGCACUUUCUAUGUGCCAGACACUUUACUAAAUACUCUUUAAAAAUUACCAUAUUUCAUCUUCAAAACAAUUCUAUAAAGCAGUGUUAAUAGUAUCCCUGUGGAAACUGAGGUUCAUAGAGAUUAAGUAGAUUGUUCAAGAUUACACAUGAAAUGUAAGAGCCAGAAUUUGAACCCAGACAGCCCUAAAACCUCUGUCCUUGCUCUUUGGCUGGUGGGUGGCCUCAUACUUACUAUUUGUUUGUUUUGCCAGGAGGAUCCUUAAAAACACCUUUUGCUCUCUCAGGCUAGGCAUGUGGUAAGAGGCAGAAAGAAUCUUGGAG
Molecule: long non-coding RNA, 1550 nt
Organism: Microcebus murinus (gray mouse lemur)
Lineage: Eukaryota; Metazoa; Chordata; Mammalia; Primates; Cheirogaleidae
Source: Ensembl